GAUGAACGCUGGCGGCGUGCUUAACACAUGCAAGUCGAACGGAAAGGCUCCUGCUUGCAGGGGUACUCGAGUGGCGAACGGGUGAGUAACACGUGGGUGAUCUGCCCUGCACUUCGGGAUAAGCCUGGGGAACUGGGUCUAAUACCGGAGAGGACGAUGGUGGGGAUGCCAUUGUGGAAAGUUUUUUCGGUGUGGGAUGAGCUCGCGGCCUAUCAGCUUGUUGGUGGGGUAAUGGCCUACCAAGGCGUCGACGGGUAGCCGGCCUGAGAGGGUGUACGGCCACCUGGGGACUGCGACACGGCCCAGUCUCCUACGGGCGGCAGCGUUGGGGAAUCUUGCACAAUGGCGGCAAGCCUGCUGCACCGAGCCCGGGUGCGGGAUGACGGCCUUCUGGUUGUAAACUCCUUUCGCUCGGGAUGAAGCGCGAGUGACGGUACCUGGCGAAUAAGCCUCGGCUAACUACGUG
Molecule: ribosomal RNA, 466 nt
Filed under: uncultured bacterium
Lineage: Bacteria
Description: partial 16S ribosomal RNA
Rfam family: Bacterial small subunit ribosomal RNA
Source: RNAcentral